This 28-nucleotide small RNA is filed under the name Arabidopsis thaliana (thale cress). Its description in RNAcentral is "ATSL134420". Lineage: Eukaryota; Viridiplantae; Streptophyta; Magnoliopsida; Brassicales; Brassicaceae. The record is from RNAcentral.
AAGGAAAGACAAAAACAAAAGUAGAAAA